Molecule: ribosomal RNA, 253 nt
Filed under: uncultured bacterium
Lineage: Bacteria
Description: partial 16S ribosomal RNA
Rfam family: Bacterial small subunit ribosomal RNA
Source: RNAcentral
GACAGAGGUGCCGAGCGUUAGGCGGAAUCACUGGGCUUAAAGCGUGUGUAGGCGGCUCGUUAAGUACCUUGUGAAAUCCCAUGGCUCAACCAUGGAACUGCUUGGUAUACUGGCGGUCUUGAGCCAGCUAGGGGCUACCGGAACAAAUGGUGGAGCGGUGAAAUGCGUAGAUAUCAUUUGGAACGCCAAUGGUGAAAACAGGUAGCUGGGGCUGUGCUGACGCUGAGACACGAAAGCCAGGGGAGCGAACGGG